Caretta caretta (loggerhead turtle) is the source of this 355-nucleotide long non-coding RNA. RefSeq lists it as uncharacterized. Lineage: Eukaryota; Metazoa; Chordata; Testudines; Cheloniidae. The record is from RefSeq and is a predicted model, not a curated record.
CAGUUUUGGCGACCACGAAGGGACUCUAGGCUCGCCCCAACAAGCAAGACUACAUUCCUCCUCUCGGACAGGUCCAGGCGGCACAGGGUGAAAGAAGUCCUGCUCCAAGGAUCCUGAGCAAACCUGCCAUUUGUUAAAACCAGGUAACUGGGUCUACAUAAAGGUCCAUCAACAAAAGACUACUCUGGCCCCAUGCUGGAAAGGCCCUUAUUAAGUCCUGCUAACUACCAACACCACUGUGAAGUGCCGAGGACUGACUGCUUGGACCCAUGCUUCUUACUGCAAAAAGACCCCUCCACCUCGAGAUGACUUCACUUCGACUACUGAUCAGCCUGUCCCUCCUGGGUUUUUUUUC